This 537-nucleotide ribosomal RNA is filed under the name uncultured bacterium. RNAcentral's name for it is "bacterial SSU rRNA". It matches the Rfam family "Bacterial small subunit ribosomal RNA", at positions 973 to 1509 of the family's 1533-position model. The record is from RNAcentral.
CCCUGGCCUUGACAUACUAAGAACUUUCCAGAGAUGGAUUGGUGCCUUCGGGAACUUAGAUACAGGUGCUGCAUGGCUGUCGUCAGCUCGUGUCGUGAGAUGUUGGGUUAAGUCCGCAACGAGCGCAACCCUUUUCCUUAUUUGCCAGCGGGUCAUGCCGGGAACUUUAAGGAUACUGCCAGUGACAAACUGGAGGAAGGCGGGGACGACGUCAAGUCAUCAUGGCCCUUACGGCCAGGGCUACACACGUGCUACAAUGGUCGGUACAAAGGGUUGCUACCUCGCGAGAGGAUGCUAAUCUCAAAAAGCCGAUCGUAGUCCGGAUCGCAGUCUGCAACUCGACUGCGUGAAGUCGGAAUCGCUAGUAAUCGCGGAUCAGAAUGCCGCGGUCGAAUACGUUCCCGGGCCUUGUACACACCGCCCGUCACACCAUGGGAGUUUGUUGCACCAGAAGUAGGUAGUCUAACCGCAAGGAGGACGCUUACCACGGUGUGGCCGAUGACUGGGGUGAAGUCGUAACAAGGUAAGCGUACUACA